This 811-nucleotide ribosomal RNA is filed under the name Mycobacteroides abscessus subsp. bolletii. RNAcentral describes it as "bacterial LSU rRNA". It matches the Rfam family "Bacterial large subunit ribosomal RNA", at positions 1968 to 2778 of the family's 2925-position model. Lineage: Bacteria; Bacillati; Actinomycetota; Actinomycetes; Mycobacteriales; Mycobacteriaceae. The record is from RNAcentral.
CUUGUCGGGUAAGUUCCGACCUGCACGAAUGGCGUAACGACUUCUCAACUGUCUCAACCAUAGACUCGGCGAAAUUGCACUACGAGUAAAGAUGCUCGUUACGCGCGGCAGGACGAAAAGACCCCGGGACCUUCACUAUAGCUUGGUAUUGGCGUUUGGUUCGGUUUGUGUAGGAUAGGUGGGAGACUGUGAAGCAGGCACGCCAGUGUUUGUGGAGUCAUCGUUGAAAUACCACUCUGAUCGUAUUGAACCUCUAACCUCGGACCGUAUAUCCGGUCCAGGGACAGUGCCUGGUGGGUAGUUUAACUGGGGCGGUUGCCUCCCAAAAUGUAACGGAGGCGCCCAAAGGUUCCCUCAACCUGGACGGCAAUCAGGUGUUGAGUGCAAGUGCACAAGGGAGCUUGACUGCGAGACCUACAAGUCAAGCAGGGACGAAAGUCGGGACUAGUGAUCCGGCACCUCUGAGUGGAAGGGGUGUCGCUCAACGGAUAAAAGGUACCCCGGGGAUAACAGGCUGAUCUUCCCCAAGAGUCCAUAUCGACGGGAUGGUUUGGCACCUCGAUGUCGGCUCGUCGCAUCCUGGGGCUGGAGCAGGUCCCAAGGGUUGGGCUGUUCGCCCAUUAAAGCGGCACGCGAGCUGGGUUUAGAACGUCGUGAGACAGUUCGGUCUCUAUCCGCCGCGCGCGUCAGAAACUUGAGGAAACCUGUCCCUAGUACGAGAGGACCGGGACGGACGAACCUCUGGUGUACCAGUUGUUCCACCAGGAGCACGGCUGGAUAGCUACGUUCGGACAGGAUAACCGCUGAAAGC